CACAAUUGCCUGUUACCGCCGAGAAAGUUAGGUAGUUAGGUGCUCAUGCCGGGAGCGAAACAUCUCAAAAAUUGCCUUUGCAAGACCACGCUGAUCAUAAACUUGCAUGAUAUCACGGAUGUUCGCAUUGACGGGCGCACCGAGGUCCCAGAGCUUCUGACGCGCAGACACAAUCGCCGGACAUUCUACCAAGAAGUGUUUCUCAUCCUCAAUAGCUC
This 218-nucleotide long non-coding RNA is filed under the name Volvox carteri. Its description in RNAcentral is "long non-coding RNA (VCAR_LNC000394)". Lineage: Eukaryota; Viridiplantae; Chlorophyta; Chlorophyceae; Chlamydomonadales; Volvocaceae. The record is from RNAcentral.